GCAGGUAAACGGGCCAAUUGGAUAGCUUGCUAGAAGAUUGGUCUGUGCCGGACGGGUGAGAAACACGUGGAUAAUCUGCCUGUAACUCCGGGAUAACACGGUGAAAACGGUGCUAAUACCGGAUACCUUCAUGACGCCGCAUGGUGAUGUGAAGAAAGCAUAAUGUGGUUACAGAUGAAUCCGCGGCUGAUUAGCUAGUUGGUGGGGUAAAGGCCUACCAAGGCGAUGAUCAGUAGCCGGCCUGAGAGGGUGAUCGGCCACACUGGGACUGAGACACUUUUCAGACUC
This 288-nucleotide unclassified non-coding RNA is filed under the name uncultured bacterium. Its description in RNAcentral is "partial contains 16S ribosomal RNA and 16S-23S ribosomal RNA intergenic spacer region". It matches the Rfam family "Bacterial small subunit ribosomal RNA", at positions 61 to 338 of the family's 1533-position model. The record is from RNAcentral.